Molecule: transfer RNA, 60 nt
Filed under: Ornithodoros waterbergensis
Lineage: Eukaryota; Metazoa; Arthropoda; Arachnida; Ixodida; Argasidae
Description: tRNA-Asp
Source: RNAcentral
GAAAAACUAGUUAAAUUAUAACAUAAGAUUGUCAUUCUUAAAUCACUUUGGUGUUUUUCA